Long non-coding RNA from Oreochromis niloticus (Nile tilapia), 1983 nucleotides. RefSeq lists it as uncharacterized. Lineage: Eukaryota; Metazoa; Chordata; Actinopteri; Cichliformes; Cichlidae. The record is from RefSeq and is a predicted model, not a curated record. The transcript has 2 exons.
AUCAUUGUUAUCAGCUACUAUGGUAAGCCAUGCCCUACUAGAGUCCAUCCAUUGGCAGGGUAGGGUAACCAUGGUGAAUAAGGUGCUAGUUGCUAUGGAAACGCUAUUCUGAAGCAACCAACUGGUACAUUUGUUUGAGUUUUGGAUUGCUGUACCUCCCCACCAAAGCACUUGGUUUGUAUGUAUAACUUGCUGCUUUAGUCAUGUUUUGAUUUUUUUUUAUUUUGCAUUUUCAUACUUAUAAGAUGUACAGUAUGUGGAUGUAUGUAUUUUUUCAGGCUGUUAGUACCUUUUAAAAUAGUCUCUCUCUCACUCUCAAACACAGACAAACAGCACACUCGGGAUGGUUUUGUUUUUUCCCACUCGGGCACGCAUAAAACACACUCAAACAGAAACGCAAAAAUGUGGCAACUGACAUAUGGGCGUACAGAGAACAGGGUUGGUAGAGCAGGCCGCUGAACCAACAUGGCUUGGACAGGACCUAUUUAUUGAUGCUCGUGUGAGUGACUGCUCCUCCUCUCUCGUCCCCUCCUCCGGGCUCCUCUUUCUCUCCUCUAAACAGCUUGCAGUCGUUUGUGAGGAGGGUAGUAUUGCUGAGUGUAUCCAUGGCUGCUCGAUGGCCAUCGUGUGCUUCAUUAACCUCGGAGCUGGCAGAGGACGAACUGAGUACUUCAAGGAAAAGACAGAAAAGUACCACAGCAACUUCUAACGUCCACACACCUUUGCACUGUCUGUCAAUGCCACAUGUUCGGGUUCCUUUCCCCCUCUUCUAUCUUUUCCUAGAAAUGAUAUUGUACACCUUCCCAAGGCUAGUUGGCAUGGUGACGCUGAUGGGAUGGCCGUUGCUAGGAGAUGCACAGAGCGGCCAAAAAGAGCAUCGUCACGGUGAGAAGAAGGCGAUCCCUGGAUGGGCUGCUUCCACUGACGCUCUUCUCCAGCUUGGGAAUAACAGGAUUAAAUUCAGCUGGAAAAAUAAAAGAGAAUGAGAAACUAUUAGAAUGUAACAACAACAGGAGAGAUACAGAGAGAGAUCUCAUUUAUAAUCAUGUCAGAUGAGAAUUUUUCUGUACUUUUAAUCCCAGAUUUUAUUAUUUGGUCAUUCAGACGCCGUCUUUAACAUCGGCAGCGCUCCUUACAUUAGCUGCAAAAUUUCUAUGUCUGAUCUUAGUCCAACCCAGUACUACCAAGUGCCUGGAGUACACAGUAAUACACUAAAAUUAUAGAUAAUAUAAAAUAUCAGCAAGAGCCUCUACUAAAUGAGACUUCAGCUAAACCUCAGGGUACAAAAUUUAGGCACUUUUUUUUUUCUCAGUCGACGUGGCUGGGAUGUGUUAUUCUGUAUGGCAAAGUAUCACAGGGUACAGUACCCAAACACACUGAGCCUUACAGGACUUGUUAGUGUGUUUUUAGUUUUAAACAAGCACAUUUUUUUCAGCUAACUUCUAUCUCUUGUUACCUGCCCUCUGUACCAGGACUACAGUUGGCUUCAAAUGGAGCGCUUUGUUUUGCAGUACACUCCACUGACAUAAAACAGUCACAUUUCCUAAAGAAAUAUCUUGGUUUUUGAAACAAGAAUAGCAUGUUUACGCAAUCCACAAAGCUAAGCAUAAGUCUGCAUCAUGUUUGAAUUCAGUUGUUCAAAGUCUGGCUCUUUGUCUCAGACGGCAUGUUGCCCAUCCCUGACUUAGAUCAUCUGACCAGAUGCUCCAGGUGGUUUUAAGUCCAAGUUACAAACAAAGAGGUAUUGUACUUUUUCAGCUGGCACCUCUAAGCUUCGGAACAGACUGCCCGUUCAUAUCAGACCUGUCCUACAUUUUUCCCCUCUAAAUCCUCACUUAAGACCUACCUGUCUGAUGGAAUUGAGACCCGUAUGUAUUUGGGUAGGCAAUGUAAUAAAGCGAUCACUGUUUAGAUUAUCUAUUGCCCAGUUGUCUUUUUUCCCUGUGUUUUGCUGGCAUAGUUGUACAACACUUUUUUGCUGCU